This 240-nucleotide ribosomal RNA is filed under the name uncultured bacterium. RNAcentral's name for it is "partial 16S ribosomal RNA". It matches the Rfam family "Bacterial small subunit ribosomal RNA", at positions 15 to 233 of the family's 1533-position model. The record is from RNAcentral.
GAUCCUGGCUCAGGACGAACGCUGGCGGCGUGCUUAACACAUGCAAGUCGAACGGACAGACAGAGAGCUUGCUCUCUUGAAGUUAGUGGCGAACGGGUGAGUAACGCGUAAUCAACCUGCCCUUCAGAGGGGGAGUAACAACGGGAAACCGUUGCUAAUACCGCGUACGAUUCACAGGCGGCAUCGCUUGUGAAUGAAAGGUGGCCUCUAUGUAUAAGCUAUCGCUGAAGGAGGGGAUUG